GACGAACGCUGGCAGCGUGCUUAACACAUGCAAGUCGAACGGAAAGGCCCUGCUUUUGUGGGGUGCUCGAGUGGCGAACGGGUGAGUAACACGUGAGUAACCUGCCCUUGACUUUGGGAUAACUUCAGGAAACUGGGGCUAAUACCGGAUAGGAGCUCCUGCUGCAUGGUGGGGGUUGGAAAGUUUCGGCGGUUGGGGAUGGACUCGCGGCUUAUCAGCUUGUUGGUGGGGUAGUGGCUUACCAAGGCUUUGACGGGUAGCCGGCCUGAGAGGGUGACCGGCCACAUUGGGACUGAGAUACGGCCCAGACUCCUACGGGAGGCAGCAGCGGGGAAUAUUGCACAAUGGGCGGAAGCCUGAUGCAGCAACGCCGCGUGCGGGAUGACGGCCUUCGGGUUGUAAACCGCUUUCGCCUGUGACGAAGCGUGAGUGACGGUAAUGGGUAAAGAAGCACCGGCUAACUACGUG
Molecule: ribosomal RNA, 468 nt
Filed under: uncultured bacterium
Lineage: Bacteria
Description: partial 16S ribosomal RNA
Rfam family: Bacterial small subunit ribosomal RNA
Source: RNAcentral